UAUGUGAUCGUCUCUCGCAUAUCAAUAAGCGGAGGAAAAGAAACUAACAAGGAUUCCCCUAGUAACGGCGAGUGAAGCGGGAAGAGCUCAAAUUUGAAAUCUUAAAGGGUUUCCCUUUACGAAUUGUAGUUUAAAGAAGUGUUUUCUGUUGAGGUUUUGGUAAAAGUUCUUUGGAAUAGGACAUCAUAGAGGGUGAGAAUCCCGUAUUUGACCUUUACUUUCAACUUUGUGAUACACUUUCAAAGAGUCGGAUUGUUUGGGAAUGCAGUCCAAAAUGGGUGGUAAAUUUCAUCUAAAGCUAAAUAUUGGCGAGAGACCGAUAGCGAACAAGUACCGUGAGGGAAAGAUGAAAAGAACUUUGAAAAGAGAGUUAAACAGUACGUGAAAUUGUCAAAAGGGAAGCGUUUGACACCAGUGUUGUUUUUCUGAAAAUCAAUUAAAGAACUGUUUAUGCUAAGCUGUUUAGACUUUAUCAGCUAACUGUUUAGUUUUGAGCUUUUCUUUAAUGCACUUUUCAGUUAACAAGUCAACAUCAAUUUCUUUUGCUGUAAAAAAGCUUGAGGAAGGUGGCUUGAGAUUCGUCUUAAGUGUUUAUAGCCUCUUGCCUAUGCAGUCGGAGAGAUUGAGGUCUGCAGCGUAGAUCCUUCGGGGCUAAAUGCAUUUGUGCUAAGUUAUAGCAUUUUAUAGACAACUUGUUGACUAUGAUUUGUCUUGUAGCUUACUCGCUUAUGUUAUUUUACCUACGCUUAGGAUGUUGACACACGCGCGUGCUC
This 773-nucleotide ribosomal RNA is filed under the name uncultured Neocallimastigales. RNAcentral describes it as "partial large subunit ribosomal RNA". It matches the Rfam family "Eukaryotic large subunit ribosomal RNA", at positions 24 to 642 of the family's 3401-position model. Lineage: Eukaryota; Fungi; Neocallimastigomycota; Neocallimastigomycetes; Neocallimastigales. The record is from RNAcentral.